ACUCCUACGGGAGGCAGCAGUAGGGAAUCUUCCGCAAUGGACGAAAGUCUGACGGAGCAACGCCGCGUGAGUGAAGAAGGUUUUCGGAUUGUAAAACUCUGUCAUUAGGGAAGAACGGCUAUAGUUUAAAUAAGGCUAUAGAUUGACGGUACCUAAGGAGGAAGCCCCGGCUAACUACGUGCCAGCAGCCGCGGUAAUACGUAGGGGGCAAGCGUUGUCCGGAAUUAUUGGGCGUAAAGCGCGCGCAGGCGGCUCUUUAAGUCUGAUGUGAAAGCCCACGGCUCAACCGUGGAGGGUCAUUGGAAACUGGAGAGCUUGAGUACAGGAGAGGAAAGUGGAAUUCCAUGUGUAGCGGUGAAAUGCGUAGAUAUAUGGAGGAACACCAGUGGCGAAGGCGACUUUCUGGCCUGAAACUGACGCUGAGGCGCGAAAGCGUGGGGAGCAAACAGGAUUAGAUACCCUGGUAGUC
RNAcentral lists this ribosomal RNA (469 nucleotides) under uncultured bacterium. RNAcentral's name for it is "bacterial SSU rRNA". It matches the Rfam family "Bacterial small subunit ribosomal RNA", at positions 335 to 795 of the family's 1533-position model. The record is from RNAcentral.